GGGCAUCAAUCUCCUGGUGCAGGAGAGAACACCUCUGCCAUAGGGGAUGCAGCAGAAAAGGCCAAAUGGAUGGUCCAGGAGGUUCUGGAGAAGAGUUCAGGAGGAGAGGAAACAAUGGAGGAGUAUAAGAGAUUGAGCACCUUGACACACUGCACAAGACGGCAUCAUAUCCUGGUCAGCCACAUUGUUGAAAUGCAUGGGAACUCUGGAUCUCAUUCAUAGUCAGCAUUGGGUCCUUGGUUACCUGUCUGACCAAGGCCCCUUUGUCCCAGGAUUACUCAGUUUGGCUUGCAUUUUUGCGGAGAGUUGGAGGAUUUUGUGUAGAUGUUGAUGAAGAUGAUAUGUUUGUUAUAUCUCUGUCAGUCGUCUGAAUAUUUUUAAAUGUUUUU
Long non-coding RNA from Alosa alosa (allis shad), 389 nucleotides. RefSeq lists it as uncharacterized. The record is from RefSeq and is a predicted model, not a curated record. The transcript is spliced from 3 exons. Lineage: Eukaryota; Metazoa; Chordata; Actinopteri; Clupeiformes; Clupeidae.